UAAAAGUCGACUACCUAUUUGACCCGUCUUGAAACACGGGACCAAGGAGUUUAGCAUAUGUGCGAGUAGUUGGAUGAAAAAUCUGAAUGCGUAAUGAAAGUGAAGGUCAGUGAACGUUGGCUGAUAUCAGAUCCGCGUUAAAACGGAGCAUGAUAGCCCCGUCCCGAUGGCUUGCCAUGAGGCGGAGGAAGAGCAUAUACGCUAAGACCCGAAAGAUGGUGAACUAUGCCUGAGCAGGACGAAGCCAGAGGAAACUCUGGUGGAGGUCCGAAACGGUUCUGACGUGCAAAUCGAUCGUCUGACUUGGGUAUAGGGGCGAAAGACUAAUCGAACCAUCUAGUAGCUGGUUCCCUCUGAAGUUUCCCCCAGGAUAGCUGGAGUUUUAUAAUCAGUUUUACUCGGUAAAGCCAAUGAUUAGAGGCAUUGGGAUCUUAAUGAUCUUAACCUAUUCUCAAACUUUCAAUGAGUAUGAAGUCUUGGUUUCUUGAUUGAACCUAGACAUUGAAUGUGAGCUCCAAGUGGGCCAUUUUUGGUAAGCAGAACUGGCGAUGUGGGAUGAACCAAACGUUGGGUUAAAGUGCCUAACUGUCCGAUCAUGAGACCCCAUGAAAUGCGUUAGUUCAUAUAGACAGCAGGACGGUGGCCAUGGAAGUCGGUACCCGCUAAGGAGUGUGUAACAACUCACCUGCCGAAUGAACUAGCCAUGAAAAUGGAUGGCGCUAGAUCGGACGACUUAUACCCAACCGUUACAGACUUGAGCGCUUGCGUACGCCUGGUCGUAACGAGUAAGAGGGUCGUA
RNAcentral lists this ribosomal RNA (799 nucleotides) under Myolaimus sp. MRA-2014. RNAcentral describes it as "LSU rRNA". It matches the Rfam family "Eukaryotic large subunit ribosomal RNA", at positions 626 to 1393 of the family's 3401-position model. Lineage: Eukaryota; Metazoa; Nematoda; Chromadorea; Rhabditida; Myolaimidae. The record is from RNAcentral.